UUUAUGGAGAGUUUGAUCCUGGCUCAGGAUGAACGCUGGCGGCGUGCCUAAUACAUGCAAGUCGAGCGAACGGACGAGAAGCUUGCUUCUCUGAUGUUAGCGGCGGACGGGUGAGUAACACGUGGAUAACCUACCUAUAAGACUGGGAUAACUUCGGGAAACCGGAGCUAAUACCGGAUAAUAUUUUGAACCGCAUGGUUCAAAAGUGAAAGACGGUCUUGCUGUCACUUAUAGAUGGAUCCGCGCUGCAUUAGCUAGUUGGUAAGGUAACGGCUUACCAAGGCAACGAUGCAUAGCCGACCUGAGAGGGUGAUCGGCCACACUGGAACUGAGACACGGUCCAGACUCCUACGGGAGGCAGC
Molecule: ribosomal RNA, 362 nt
Filed under: Escherichia coli
Lineage: Bacteria; Pseudomonadati; Pseudomonadota; Gammaproteobacteria; Enterobacterales; Enterobacteriaceae
Also listed under: 1 other name
Description: bacterial SSU rRNA
Rfam family: Bacterial small subunit ribosomal RNA
Source: RNAcentral